AGAAGCUGAAGGCCCUGGAUGAAGUUGGGCUUUUGUGGUUGACACACUUGUCCAACAUCGCGUGGGAAUCUGGGACAGUGCCUGGCAGGAUUGAUAGACUGGUGU
This is a long non-coding RNA of Sinocyclocheilus rhinocerous, 105 nucleotides long. RefSeq lists it as uncharacterized. The transcript is spliced from 3 exons. The record is from RefSeq and is a predicted model, not a curated record. Lineage: Eukaryota; Metazoa; Chordata; Actinopteri; Cypriniformes; Cyprinidae.